RNAcentral lists this transfer RNA (72 nucleotides) under Haemonchus placei. It matches the Rfam family "tRNA". From Rfam's summary of the family: Transfer RNA (tRNA) molecules are approximately 80 nucleotides in length. Lineage: Eukaryota; Metazoa; Nematoda; Chromadorea; Rhabditida; Trichostrongylidae. The record is from Rfam by way of RNAcentral.
GUCUCGGUAGUGUAAGGGAUAGAGCACGGUGCCUGAAUAGCCCAAGCGCGGGUUCGAGUCCCGUUCGAGGCU